RNAcentral lists this ribosomal RNA (254 nucleotides) under uncultured bacterium. Its description in RNAcentral is "partial 16S ribosomal RNA". It matches the Rfam family "Bacterial small subunit ribosomal RNA", at positions 524 to 776 of the family's 1533-position model. The record is from RNAcentral.
GACGUAGGGCGCGAGCGUUGUCCGGAUUUAUUGGGCGUAAAGAGCUCGUAGGCGGCUUGUCGCGUCGACUGUGAAAACCCAUGGCUCAACCAUGUGGUCUGCAGUCGAUACGGGCAGGCUAGAAUUCGGUAGGGGAGACUGGAAUUCCUGGUGUAGCGGUGAAAUGCGCAGAUAUCAGGAGGAACACCGGUGGCGAAGGCGGGUCUCUGGGCAACAACUGACGCUGAGGAGCGAAAGCGUGGGGAGCGAACAGG